RNAcentral lists this ribosomal RNA (622 nucleotides) under uncultured bacterium. RNAcentral's name for it is "bacterial SSU rRNA". It matches the Rfam family "Bacterial small subunit ribosomal RNA", at positions 112 to 714 of the family's 1533-position model. The record is from RNAcentral.
AAUGCGUAAAUGAUCUACCCUCUUGACGGGGAUAACAGUUCGAAAGAGCUGCUAAUACCGGAUGCGGUCCUUAGGUUGCGGCCUGGGGAUUAAAGAUGGCCUCUAUUUUAAGCUGUCGCAAGAGGAGGAGUUUACGUGCUAUUAGCUAGUUGGUGGGGUAAUGGCCCACCAAGGCAAUGAUGGCUAGCCGGCCUGAGAGGGUGUCCGGCCACACUGGGACUGAGACACUGCCCAGACUCCUACGGGAGGCUGCAGUCGAGAAUCUUCCACCAAUGUGCGAAAGCAUGAUGGAGCGACGCCGCGUGUAUGAUGAAGGCCUUCGGGUUGUAAAGUACUGUCAGUUAAUCUUAAACCCGUACCGUUAAUACCAGUUGCGGUUGAAAGGUUUUCAGAGGAAGCACCGGCUAAAUCCGUGCCAGCAGCCGCGGUAAUACGGAUGGUGCAAGCGUUAUUCGGAAUCACUGGGCAUAAAGAGCACGUAGGCGGCUGCAUAAGUCAGUGGUGAAAUCCCUCAGCUCAACUGGGGAACUGCCAUUGAUACUGUGCGGCUAGAAUGCGGGAGGGGCAGAUGGAAUUCCAGGUGGAGCGGUGAAAUGCGUAGAUAUCUGGAGGAACGCCGGAG